Molecule: ribosomal RNA, 929 nt
Filed under: uncultured bacterium
Lineage: Bacteria
Description: bacterial SSU rRNA
Rfam family: Bacterial small subunit ribosomal RNA
Source: RNAcentral
AGAGUUUGAUCAUGGCUCAGAAUCAACGCUGGCGGCGUGCCUAACACAUGCAAGUCGAACGCGAAAGGGGCUUCGGCCCUGAGUAGAGUGGCGAACGGGUGAGUAACACGUGGGUGAUCUACCUUCGAGUGGGGGAUAACGUCCCGAAAGGGACGCUAAUACCGCAUGACGUUCUGGGUUUAAAGACCUGGAAACCAAAGCCGGGGACCGCAAGGCCUGGCGCUUGAAGAGGAGCCCGCGUCCGAUUAGCUAGUUGGCGGGGUAAUGGCCCACCAAGGCGACGAUCGGUAGCCGGCCUGAGAGGGCGGACGGCCACACUGGAACUGAGACACGGUCCAGACUCCUACGGGAGGCAGCAGUGGGGAAUUGUUCACAAUGGGCGCAAGCCUGAUGACGCAACGCCGCGUGGGGGAUGAAGGUCUUCGGAUUGUAAACCCCUGUCGAAUGGGACGAAAGACCCGGGAGCUAAUCAUCCUGGGAGUGACGGUACCGUUAAAGGAAGCCACGGCUAACUCUGUGCCAGCAGCCGCGGUAAUACAGAGGUGGCAAGCGUUGUUCGGAAUUACUGGGCGUAAAGGGCGCGUAGGCGGCCAUCUAAGUCAGACGUGAAAUCCCCCGGCUUAACCUGGGAACUGCGUCUGAUACUGGACGGCUCGAGUAUGGGAGAGGGAUGUAGAAUUCCAGGUGUAGCGGUGAAAUGCGUAGAUAUCUGGAGGAAUACCGGUGGCGAAGGCGGCAUCCUGGACCAUUUACUGACGCUGAGGCGCGAAAGCUAGGGGAGCAAACGGGAUUAGAUACCCCGGUAGUCCUAGCCCUAAACGAUGAAUGCUUGGUGUGGCGGGUAUCGAUCCCUGCCGUGCCGAAGCUAACGCAUUAAGCAUUCCGCCUGGGGAGUACGGUCGCAAGGCUGAACUCAAAGGAAUUGACGG